UUUAAUGUGGCAGAAUAGUGCAAUGAAUUUAAGCUUCAUAUAUAAAGAAUUUCUUUCAUUAAAA
RNAcentral lists this transfer RNA (64 nucleotides) under Epicypta sp. WQY004. RNAcentral describes it as "tRNA-Leu". Lineage: Eukaryota; Metazoa; Arthropoda; Insecta; Diptera; Mycetophilidae. The record is from RNAcentral.